GACGAACGCUGGCGGCGUGCUUAACACAUGCAAGUCGAACGAAGAGCGAUGGAAGCUUGCUUCUAUCAAUCUUAGUGGCGAACGGGUGAGUAACGCGUAAUCAACCUGCCCUUCAGAGGGGGACAACAGUUGGAAACGACUGCUAAUACCGCAUACGAUCUAAUCUCGGCAUCGAGGAUAGAUGAAAGGUGGCCUCUACAUGUAAGCUAUCACUGAAGGAGGGGAUUGCGUCUGAUUAGCUAGUUGGAGGGGUAACGGCCCACCAAGGCGAUGAUCAGCAGCCGGUCUGAGAGGAUGAACGGCCACAUUGGGACUGAGACACGGCCCAGACUCCUACGGGAGGCAGCAGUGGGGAAUCUUCCGCAAUGGACGAAAGUCUGACGGAGCAACGCCGCGUGAGUGAUGACGGCCUUCGGGUUGUAAAGCUCUGUUAAUCGGGACGAAAGGCCUUCUUGCGAAUAGUGAGAAGGAUUGACGGUACCGGAAUAGAAAGCCACGGCUAACUACGUG
This 510-nucleotide ribosomal RNA is filed under the name uncultured bacterium. RNAcentral's name for it is "partial 16S ribosomal RNA". It matches the Rfam family "Bacterial small subunit ribosomal RNA", at positions 28 to 507 of the family's 1533-position model. The record is from RNAcentral.